This 339-nucleotide unclassified non-coding RNA is filed under the name Hevea brasiliensis (rubber tree). The record is from RNAcentral. Lineage: Eukaryota; Viridiplantae; Streptophyta; Magnoliopsida; Malpighiales; Euphorbiaceae.
GGAAGGAAGAAAAUGAGGGGAGAGAAAAUGAGGAGAAAAGGCUGUUUGGAUAGAUGAGAAAAUGGAGAGGGUGAGAGUGGAUAAGUUGUUUGUAAUUCCGUAAAUUACAUUUUAACUUUCCUUUCUUGAAAAAUGUUAUAGGGAUAAAUGUGGUAUGUACCACAUUUUUGCUCAGUUUCUCCCCAUGUUGUUAACAAAAAUUUUCCAUAGGUCCAUGUCACUAUUUCUAAGGUGAUUUUUCCACUAUUCAUGUUCUACCAUCUUCCAAACAAAGAGGACCCUUAUCCAUUUUUCCCAUCUCCCAAACAAAGUAACUCCACAUUUUUCUUUACCUUCUCU